Molecule: non-coding RNA, 45 nt
Filed under: Trichobilharzia regenti
Lineage: Eukaryota; Metazoa; Platyhelminthes; Trematoda; Strigeidida; Schistosomatidae
Source: RNAcentral
GUUCAUCUGAUGAGUCCCAAAUGGGACUGAAUGCGCAUCAUGAAU